GUAGAGAUGACUUACAACUAUGAUAAUAUGAAACUAAGUAGGAACUCCAUUCAAUCUCUAUAUUUUUAUUCUCUUUAAAGUCUUGGAAAGAGUAUAAUUAUGUAGAAUUAUCUCAAACUUUGUAAUUAGUUUCCUUUCUAUAAAAAUUUUAAAUAGUUAGCAUCUUUGAUAUAUAUUUUUGUUAUUAGCAUUUAGAAUACAAUUAGACUCAAGUUGAAG
This 219-nucleotide long non-coding RNA is filed under the name Vitis vinifera (wine grape). Its description in RNAcentral is "long non-coding RNA (VVIN_LNC005318)". Lineage: Eukaryota; Viridiplantae; Streptophyta; Magnoliopsida; Vitales; Vitaceae. The record is from RNAcentral.